GAUGAACGCUGGCGGCGUGCCUAAUACAUGCAAGUCGAGCGAACAGACGAGGAGCUUGCUCCUCUGACGUUAGCGGCGGACGGGUGAGUAACACGUGGAUAACCUACCUAUAAGACUGGGAUAACUUCGGGAAACCGGAGCUAAUACCGGAUAACAUGUUGAACCGCAUGGUUUAACAGUGAAAGACGGUCUUGCUGUCACUUAUAGAUGGAUCCGCGCCGCAUUAGCUAGUUGGUAAGGUAACGGCUUACCAAGGCAACGAUGCGUAGCCGACCUGAGAGGGUGAUCGGCCACACUGGAACUGAGACACGGUCCAGACUCCUACGGGAGGCAGCAGUAGGGAAUCUUCCGCAAUGGGCGAAAGCCUGACGGAGCAACGCCGCGUGAGUGAAGAAGGUCUUCGGAUCGUAAACUCUGUUAUUAGGGAAGAACAAAUGUGUAAGUAACUAUGCACGUCUUGACGGUACCUAAUCAGAAAGCCACGGCUAACUACGUG
RNAcentral lists this ribosomal RNA (496 nucleotides) under uncultured bacterium. RNAcentral's name for it is "partial 16S ribosomal RNA". It matches the Rfam family "Bacterial small subunit ribosomal RNA", at positions 28 to 507 of the family's 1533-position model. The record is from RNAcentral.